GAUGAAGACGCAGCGAAAUGCGAUAAGUAAUGUGAAUUGCAGAAUUCAGUGAAUCAUCGAAUCUUUGAACGCACAUUGCGCCCGCCAGUAUUCUGGCGGGCAUGCCUGUUCGAGCGUCAUUACAACCCUCAGGCCCCCGGGCCUGGCGUUGGGGAUCGGCGGAAGCCCCCUGCGGGCACAACGCCGUCCCCCAAAUACAGUGGCGGUCCCGCCGCAGCUUCCAUUGCGUAGUAGCUAACACCUCGCAACUGGAGAGCGGCGCGGCCACGCCGUAAAACACCCAACUUCUGAAUGUUGACCUCGAAUCAGGUAGGAAUACCCGCUGAACUUAAGCAUAUCAAUAAGCGGAGGA
This 352-nucleotide unclassified non-coding RNA is filed under the name soil metagenome. RNAcentral describes it as "partial contains 5.8S ribosomal RNA, internal transcribed spacer 2, and large subunit ribosomal RNA". The stretch from base 1 to 119 matches the Rfam family "5.8S ribosomal RNA", at positions 35 to 154 of the family's 154-position model. The record is from RNAcentral.